This 1043-nucleotide long non-coding RNA is filed under the name Linum usitatissimum (flax). Its description in RNAcentral is "long non-coding RNA (LUSI_LNC002924)". The record is from RNAcentral. Lineage: Eukaryota; Viridiplantae; Streptophyta; Magnoliopsida; Malpighiales; Linaceae.
UUAGUUACUCAUAAUCUUGAAGAAUGAAACCAAUUCAGCAAACGAAAACAUUGAAACUAGAUUUACAAAUGAGAAUCUGAAAAAUCUAAUUUCACCAAAGAACUCCAAAGAACGCGAUUCACCAAUCUUGAUUAACUCUUCCGAUCCGAGCUCCUUGAAGUCAAUGUUUUCUCGUCUCUCAAAAUUCUUUAUUCUCUGCUCUCGGUUUCAUCCAAAAGGGUGUGUGUUUCAAAUGAAGAAGGACCGGUCUUUAAAUAGGUGAGGGAACCGAAUUGAUGUUGUUGGCGUAAUAUGCGCUGCACAUUAUGACAAACCUUAGGUGCAUAUUAUGCCCAAAAUUUAGAAACCUUCGUUCUCAUCAAUGUAAUAUGCGCUGAAGAUUAGUCUAAUGUCCGCUAAAGACUAGUCUAAUGUGCGCCUCAGAUUAUGACCAUCUUGGGCGCAUAUUACACCCAGUCUAGCACUCAUUGAAUUCUUCAUCUUUUUGAUGCCUCUAGCUCAUCUAAGAACGUUGUAUUGCUCCGAAUAAUAUCUUGAUGUCAUCAUGUACCUGAAAUCUAGCAAAACACUCGAAAAUGACAUCAAAUGGACCCCGAGAGGGUCCUAGACACUAAACCGAGAUAGAAGCUUAAAAUGUAAGAAACACUAUAAACUUCUACUUAAAGCUAUACCAACAUGCAUGAAAUGUCUCUAAAAUAAGGCAAUGAACGCGUUGAAUCGAACAUCAUCAAAUAACCCCACACUUAAGCUUUGCUUGUCCUCAAGCAAAAAGCUCAUAACAACCAUGGAAAACAUCUAUAAACGAUUCAAAAUACGUAACAUUAUCUUAACGAAUCCAUAUUCCUCAAGGUACCCCUAAAUUAGUUAACAAGCAAGAAAACCUUUAAGCAUAACCAAUCUAGGAAGUACAACCCUCACAAGAAGUUCCUCAACUUGCCAUACAUGAUCAUGCAUAUUAUACCACCCAUCUAGACUUUCUCUCAACAGGCAGGACUUAAGGAUGUGUUUAGGGACACUAUUUAUGCACUCAUUCAUCAGCUCUG